GCUUCAGAAAAUGACAAACCCACUACCGAUCCAGUGCGCAUCUAGGGGGCGCAAACUGGCGACCAACGAACCAGACAGGCACAAAAAUGCCCAACCCUGGACGGACACACAAAUAUCUGUGCUGCCCACAUCCAGCCAACACAGGCAGCAGGAUAUUUCCUCCUAGUCAGACUGGUGAGUUUUUAUUUUUUGUUUUUAUUU
This 201-nucleotide long non-coding RNA is filed under the name Pan troglodytes (chimpanzee). Its description in RNAcentral is "lincRNA". The record is from RNAcentral. Lineage: Eukaryota; Metazoa; Chordata; Mammalia; Primates; Hominidae.